GUAAUAUUACAGUAUUUAUUUAUUUAAUAUUACACAGUAAUUCAUGCAACCCAGCGUUCAGAAAUAAUUAUGGGUUAUUACAAAAAUCCAGUGUAAAAUCACAUUCAAAAUAAUGUGCGUUUCUCCAACACUGCUUAAUUUGUGUUGACGGGUUUCGAUUGCCUGGUGGUGUUUUGUUUAGCCGCUGCAAUGUUGAUGAAUCGCUUGCAGAGUUUUUCUUUUAUAAAUAACGUUUAAAAUACGAAAUUAUGGUGAAACUUAUGCACUGAGACAUCCAAAUAGUAUCCGGUUAUAUAGAAUUUAAUUUUCUGUUCCAUAACAUCACUGCUGAAGAUAUUCCCAAAUUCGGAUGCUCCACGUACCCUGCACGACAAAUCCAUUAUAAUAGAUCACAGAAGGAUUACGAUGGCAAAGAACUCAGCGGCCACUUGGCAGGUUCCGGAUCCCCCGUCCAUGACUUUGACGCAACAAAUAAUAACGUAGCUUAAAGAGCCGGCUUAUAAGUCUACAGAUACUGUUGCUCCGAGGAAUAACGAUGUUAUAAACAGUUUUCACAGAUCCGUCCGGAUGACAUUUUAUAUACAUUGGAAAGGGCCUCUAUCGGUGCACAUCCGUUGAGUGUUUUUGUCGAGGACAUGAACAAAAAUCCUAACGCGAGUGAGGUAAGUAAUAGUAACCAGUGGAUCGCGGUUUCCCGGAAUCCCUUACGAAGAUGCCAUUUUCAUUAUGCGUACGAACGUAUUCUACGUUGAAAAUACCAGUCUCCCGCUGUAUUCCACGAUUAUCGAAAUUUAUUUCAACUUCAUCCAGUACUCCAAGAUGGAGUGAAAGGUAGAAAUGCGAUGCAUCUACGUGAGAUUCAGGAUAUCAACAAGAAAUCAAGACGCAGGAAAUCGAUCAAUGUCUACCUACCGGAUUCGGACACGGCGAGUGUCCGAACAACAUCAGCAUUCUGGUUACGUCAAGAAAAUGAUUAAAACCAGCCUUGAUGACAUGGCCUUUCAAUUAUCGCGUGCUAGUCCUGGAUCCAAACUGCGUGUUUGGUGAUAUGCUACUCUACCUAUAGUUCUCCUCGUUGGCUCCGUGGUUGGCUUCAUCGAUGCUUUGAAUUAUUCUCAGGGUUCCAACGAUUCUUGAUGGGCGGGAAACGGCCACUACGCUGGGCAACCUUCACCACGGACACCUACUUUGUGUACGACAGCGAUGGUUGGAAUCUGCCGAGCAGCAUGUUCAACAGCUAGAUAAAAGUAACGCUAUUUGAUUAGAUCUAUAAUUAUUGUUUCGUUCAAGUUCCGUGUCGAUUUCUUCAGGAAUUUUAAUAAAAGUAAAAUAAAAUCAUAUAAAAUUGAAAAAUUCAGGUUCAUAGAUAAAACGAAGGAAACUCAAUUUAUCUUGCACCAUGUACAUCGUCCUUUUCACGUUGAA
Molecule: long non-coding RNA, 1425 nt
Organism: Armigeres subalbatus
Lineage: Eukaryota; Metazoa; Arthropoda; Insecta; Diptera; Culicidae
Exons: 4
Source: RefSeq, a predicted model, not a curated record